CGCUCGAAAGAUCGCUCUGGCGGCCCCAAUAGUUAGCUGGUGAGGUACGUUGCACAGCGACGAUGGGGAGCUGUCUAGCGACGAUCAGCACACUUGGACUGAGAAACGCAGACUCCUACGGGAGGCAGCAGUGGGGAUCUGUGCAAUUGGGCGGAAGCCUUGACACAGCGACGCCGCGUGGGUGACGAAGGCUUCGGGUCGUAAAGCCUGUCAGCCGGGAAGAAGAUCACGUGGCAUUCAGGUGUACGUGGUCCUCGACGGUACCGGCGAAGGAAGCACCGGGCUAACUCCGUGCCAGCAGCCGCGGUAAGACGGAGGGUGCAAGCGUUGUUCGGAAUCAUUGGGCGUACAGGGCGCGCAGGCGGCCGGGCGGGUCCGGUGUGAAAGCCCGGGGCUCAACCCCGGAAGCGCACUGGAAACUGUCUGGCUUGAGUCCGGGAAGGGCCAGUGGAAUUCCUGGUGUAGGGGUGAAAUCCGUAGAGAUCAGGAGGAACACCAGAGGCGAAAGCGACUGGCUGGACCGGGACUGACGCUGAGGCGCGAAAGCACGGGCAGCGAACAGGAUUAGAUACCCUGGUAGUCCGUGCCGUAAACGAUGUCCACUGGACGUCGGCUGGGUUGAACCGGUCGGGGUCGAAGCUAACGCGUUAAGUGGACCGCCUGGGGAGUACGGCCGCAAGGCCCAAACUCAAAGGAAUUGACGGGGGCCCGCACAAGCGGUGGAGCAUGUGGUUUAAUUCGAAGCAACGCGAAGAACCUUACCUGGGUUUGACAUCCCGCGGACCUGUCCGAGACGGCAGGGUGCCCCUUUGGGGAGCGCGGUGACAGGCGCUGCAUGGCUGUCGUCGGCUCGUGCCGUGAGGUGUUCGGUUAAGUCCGGCAACGAGCGCAACCCCUGUCCUUAGUUGCUACCACGUCGUGGUGGGCACUCUAGGGAGACUGCCGAGGUAAACUCGGAGGAAGGUGGGGACGACGUCAAGUCCUCAUGGCCCUUAUGCCCAGGGCUACACACGUGCUACAAUGGCCGAUACAGAGGGUCUGCGACCUCGCGAGAGGGAGCCAACCCCCCAAAGUCGGUCGCAGUACGGAUUGCAGUCUGCAACUCGACUGCAUGAAGUCGGAAUCGCUAGUAAUCGCGGAUCAGAACGCCGCGGUGAAUUCGUUCCCGGGCCUUGUACACACCGCCCGUCACACCAUGGAAGUCGUCUGCUCCAGAAGUCGGUGACCCAGACCGGGAGCCGCCGAAGGAUCUUU
This 1254-nucleotide ribosomal RNA is filed under the name uncultured bacterium. RNAcentral describes it as "bacterial SSU rRNA". It matches the Rfam family "Bacterial small subunit ribosomal RNA", at positions 214 to 1468 of the family's 1533-position model. The record is from RNAcentral.